UCAGCAAUUUUUGCAAAGACUGUAUAUUUUUAAGUUGGUCUGGAGAUCAUCAGGAUGGGACCUUAGCACCAGCAACCUCCAACAGACUGCAGUGUCUCAGCCUUUAAUAUACUUCCACCCCUGUGUGUUAUACAGCCAUGAUACUGAACACACAAGGCAGACAGCUGCCCUGAGGCAUUCUCCGUAAAAACUUUCAUAUCACAACGGAACUGAACACACCAUUAUAACACCACAUCUCCUCUUCUUCACAACAGUCUCCUGUUUUUCCAUAUCUCUGCUGCAUUCUCAU
This 289-nucleotide long non-coding RNA is filed under the name Gallus gallus (chicken). Lineage: Eukaryota; Metazoa; Chordata; Aves; Galliformes; Phasianidae. The record is from RNAcentral.